This is a transfer RNA of Operophtera brumata (winter moth), 73 nucleotides long. It matches the Rfam family "tRNA". From Rfam's summary of the family: Transfer RNA (tRNA) molecules are approximately 80 nucleotides in length. The record is from Rfam. NCBI's taxonomy places the organism in Eukaryota, Metazoa, Arthropoda, Insecta, Lepidoptera, Geometridae.
CAUUCCAUAGCCGAAUUGGUCAAGGCAUUGCCGAUUAGAGGCGAAGAUAUGGGUUCAAGUCCCGCUGGAACGG